RNAcentral lists this ribosomal RNA (274 nucleotides) under uncultured bacterium. Its description in RNAcentral is "partial 16S ribosomal RNA". It matches the Rfam family "Bacterial small subunit ribosomal RNA", at positions 523 to 796 of the family's 1533-position model. The record is from RNAcentral.
AUACGGAGGGUGCAAGCGUUACUCGGAAUCACUGGGCGUAAAGCGCGCGCAGGCGGCCAUUUAAGUUGGAUGUGAAAGCCUACGGCUCAACCGUAGAACUGCAUCCAAAACUAUUUGACUAGAGUGUGGGAGAGGAAGAUGGAAUUAGUUGUGUAGGGGUAAAAUCCGUAGAGAUAACUAGGAAUACCAAAAGCGAAGGCAAUCUUCUGGAACAUUACUGACGCUGAGGCGCGAAAGCGUGGGGAGCAAACAGGAUUAGAAACCCUAGUAGUCC